Molecule: ribosomal RNA, 427 nt
Filed under: uncultured bacterium
Lineage: Bacteria
Description: partial 16S ribosomal RNA
Rfam family: Bacterial small subunit ribosomal RNA
Source: RNAcentral
GUGGGGAAUAUUGCACAAUGGGCGAAAGCCUGAUGCAGCAACGCCGCGUGAAGGAUGAAGGCCUUUGGGUCGUAAACUUCUGUCCUUGGGGAAGAAAAAAAUGACGGUACCCCUGGAGGAAGUCCCGGCUAACUACGUGCCAGCAGCCGCGGUAAUACGUAGGGGGCGAGCGUUAUCCGGAAUUAUUGGGCGUAAAGAGUACGUAGGUGGUUUUUUAAGCGCAGGGUUUAAGGCGAUGGCUCAACUGUCGUUCGCCCUGUGAACUGGAAGACUUGAGUACAGGAGAGUAAAGCGGAAUUCCUAGUGUAGCGGUGAAAUGCAUAGAUAUUAGGAGGAACACCAGUGGCGAAGGCGGCUUUCUGGACUGUAACUGACACUGAGGUACGAAAGCGUGGGGAGCAAACAGGAUUAGAUACCCGAGUAGUCC